This 320-nucleotide ribosomal RNA is filed under the name uncultured bacterium. RNAcentral describes it as "bacterial SSU rRNA". It matches the Rfam family "Bacterial small subunit ribosomal RNA", at positions 470 to 789 of the family's 1533-position model. The record is from RNAcentral.
UGACGGUACCUGACUAAGAAGCACCGGCUAAAUACGUGCCAGCAGCCGCGGUAAUACGUAUGGUGCAAGCGUUAUCCGGAUUUACUGGGUGUAAAGGGAGCGUAGACGGCAUAGCAAGCCAGAUGUGAAAUGCGGGGGCUCAACCCCUGAACUGCAUUUGGAACUGUUAAGCUAGAGUAUCGGAGAGGUAAGUGGAAUUCCUAGUGUAGCGGUGAAAUGCGUAGAUAUUAGGAGGAACACCAGUGGCGAAGGCGGCUUACUGGACGAUAACUGACGUUGAGGCUCGAAAGCGUGGGGAGCAAACAGGAUUAGAUACCCUG